This 6038-nucleotide long non-coding RNA is filed under the name Podarcis lilfordi (Lilford's wall lizard). The record is from RNAcentral. Lineage: Eukaryota; Metazoa; Chordata; Lepidosauria; Squamata; Lacertidae.
CAUGCUCUUCGGCAGAUUUGGGAUCCGGCGCUGCUCUGGAUUGGUGAGGUUAGGCAUGUUUUAGAAGACUGCAAGAUAAUGAGCUUAGUCUCCAUGGAAGAAGCAUAGAUUUGCUGCUCACACUUUGCAUUGCAUUCGCACCAGCGCUUUUGCCAGAUACAAAGGAAGCCUCCCAAGUAGGCCAACAGCCCAAGGCAAAAGGCAGGCAGGCAGGCAGGCUACAAGGAAAUCCAAAGGCAGAACUCUCGGCUACUGUGAGUAGAGGCAAAACACAAAGAUAUUUGCAUGGCGUCGGUUUGUUUGCAUGUCUUGAGUCAGGAUAGUUUAUGCAAAUAUUAUCUUCUGAAUUUCUAAGCACCUGUUGGGGGAGGAAUCGUGCCAUUUGUAUCGGAAAGGCGACUUUAGGAGAAAACCUGCUCUCUUACUGAUGAUUAUAAUAAUAAUAAAUAACAAUUUAUUAUUUAUAUGAUGCCCAUCUGACUGGCUUGCCCCAGCCUCUCUGGGCGGCUUCCAACCAAUUAAAACGUUAAGCACAGUAAAACAUCCCUAAACAGGGCUGCCUUCAGAUUUCUUCUAAAAGUCAGAUAGUUGUUUAUUUCCUUGACAUCUGACGGGAGGGCGUCCCACAGGGCGGGCGCCACUACCAAGAAGGCCCUCUGCCUGGUUCCCUGUAGCCUCACUUCUCGCAAUGAGGGAACCGCCAGAAGGCUCUCAGAGCUGGAUCUCAGUGUCCAGGUUGAACGAUGGGAGUGGAGACCCUCCUCCAGGUAUACAGGGCUGAAGACGUUUAGGGCUUUAAAGAUCAGCACUAACCAAUUUUAUUAUUAUUUUAGCUAUAUUUGAAUUCACCCUACCCCCAAGGAACUCAGGAUAAUGUGCGUGAAAUUGUCUCAUUUCAUCUUCACCACAACCCUGUGAGGUAUGUGAGGCCGAGGGUGAGUUCUGGCCUAAGGUAAUCCAGCAACAAUUGUAAUCUUGGGCUCUCCGAGUCCAGCUCAUGGUUCGCUGUAAAUAUUUAAUGGAACAGAUUCCCCAGUAAAACAAUAAAUGCGAAUCAAAUGGGCAGACAGCUAUCCUUCACCAUGCAAAGAUAUGAGAUUUGCACUCAGAGUUGUUUAAAUGAAUGAAUUGACACAGUUGUCCACUGGAACCCCCAAGUAUGCAUUAUGGGUAAGAUAAUGCCUAUGCCCUUUUCCUCCAUUGCUGCUCAUGAAGAAGGAUUAUCUUGACCACGUAGAUCAGUUUAUCAUCAGUUACCAAAUACAGUGCUUUCAUAUCGUGUUAAUGCAUCUAUCCUGCGAUGGAAAGGAGACUAUCAGUAGAUAAGCCGAUAAAAAGUCACCUUGGCCAAUUGUUUGAAUUGACCUUGGUGUUGAUGGGUUGCAAUUGCAUAAUGUCCAAAUAUUCCCAGUGGAGGCUCUACAGAUAAAUAAUGACAGACUUAUGGGGCUCAUGUGUAGGUAUUUAUUAUACAGAAUACAGGAAGGUCUUCUUGAGCCCUGAUCAAAAUUAGUGGCUUUAACUGUCUGGUGGUUAGACCUCUGCGUUGAGACCUGAGUAAAUUGCAGCUUCUCUGUGAUCACAUUGUUAGGCCAAUAAUAAUGCAAAAGCAAUUGGGAAUCAAAUGUGAUUCAUCUUCUAAUAAUACUGUGCUCCUCUGCAGUCAAUGGGAUAAGCUCCUUCCAUCUGGGUAGGCACUAAAAUGCACAGAAUUCCAUCUCUGUCAAGUAUCUCAUCACCUUUCUUGUAUAUAGUGGCGGGGGGUAGUAUUUACAUGUUAGUUUAUCUAUCCCACCAAAUGUAUCACCAUAUUUUGUUAUUAUUAACACCAAAAAGAGCCAGCCUUUCACAUGUUUUUCUGCUACCAAAAAAAGAAGAAAGAAGUUGGGUUCUAAGAAGGAAGCGCUGAAGAAAUACUCAGAAAAUAUCCAAUCAGGUCUAAGGUCUACCAUGCAGACAUUUCUCAUUGUCCUGUGUAGAACAGCCAACCUACAUCUCCUGGGCAGGGAUCCACACAAGCAAAUAAUGUUUUGGAGAAGGACAGAGAAGGUAUUCGGCAAGGUUCAAUGGAUGUACUCUUGGAUAUAUUCAACCUUGCAAAAGUGCAAUGUGCUUUUUAAAAAAAGCAAAAGGAUUUGUGCCUCUGGCAUGCAUGUCUCAUAGACAGGCCCAUUUCCUUGUUUAUAAUUAUGCUCCCACCCAGAGGGCACAAUCCAGUCUGUGCCCUUUUGAGCCCUAUUGAGUCAGUACAGAAAAAAUGUACAGUUCAAUUCUAUACUUGACUACUGAGAAGUAAGCUGUAAUAGGCGUAAGCCUCUCUUGCCCAUGGAAUUCAAGCAGACUGGGAAGUGCUUCACUUUAAGCCAAUUGGGCCCACAGUCCUUAAAAUGACUAUUAAGUUUGCAGCUGGGUGCUAUAUAAUGCCAUAAUGAGCAUAGGUGCUAACUUCCUGGGGCCCUGGGUGCCCGAGCACCCACAAAAUUCCCCAUGAAGGGGCUGGGCACCCACAAAUUUCAGUGCCAGGGCCAUGCACGCUGCAUGGCACCCAUGGCCCUGGGCACCCGUGGUCACAGGGCCAAGUUGACACUCCUGAUAACUAGAACUAUUGUUAUAUCAGAUUCUCUCUUCGUUUAUACACACAGUGUUAUUCUUCAUUGGAUCAUCUCUUCCCAGAGUGUCUCCUCACCCUUCAGAGCAGGUUUUGGGGUGGUACGAGACGGGUGUGAAGGGAUCUACCUAUGAGGGUUGCCAUAGGUAAAAUCCCAGUCAAAUAGAUUUUAGAUCCAAGCCUGUGUACCAUCUCACUCAAAUUGGUUCGUGGUUGUGAUUUCAUGAAAUAAUUCAGGUGUUGUAUGGGUGCUGAGAUUUCCCCCUCCCCACUCCAAAAAAAAUUAAUUUGGAUGUGUGUGGUUUCAAUCACUUAGGCACAGCAUCAUCUAUAAUUUAUUAAGCAUAUUAUAUGAUAUAAAUAAGGGACAUCCUCUCAUGAAAGACUCUCUCAACUGCAGAGGCAGAAAAUGAAUUUGUUAUGCAGUUCUGAGCGGUGGCAUCCUGAGGCUGGUUGGCUGGGGACUCUCCUUGUCCAUGAUGGGAUCCUGAGGGACUCAUCCCGCUUCCUUUUUUGCCUUGCUGUGCAUAUUCAUAAAAAAUUAGGGUAGGUUAUCUGAUUGAAUCGUAAACGGUGAUAAGUAGUGCUUCAACAUGCCCAUGUGCAAAAUAAGUGAUAAAUGUAUGCUAAGCAGACAACCUGCCCCAGAUUGUUCGCUCUCUUCCCCCCUCCCUCCCUCUCUCUGUGAUGGAUACAGAGAUAGAUAUAAACACAUAAUGGCCUGGAGAUAUUCGGCAGAUCAAUGAACUCUUGCAGCUCUGUGGAAUUCUAUUACUAUCCAAAAUCUACAUGCAAAUAAAUGCAAUGAGUGAAAAGGUCCCUGAUAUUUAGCGAGACGUGUGCCAUCGUUUUUGUGCAAAUCGGCAGGUAGCGGAGCACAUUCAAUAACUUGUUCUUGGAGACACGGACAGAGCCUAAGUGCAAUGAAAGAUAGCCACAAGUGAGAGACUGGCAAUUCCCAAAUUGUAGCACUCAGGGUGCCAUGAGAAAAUGUUAAACUAAAUAACCCAAGGCCUUUCACAGAGAAGGGGGCCCCACUGCAUUUCUGCGAGAUUUAAUGCUUUGGUUUUGCCGCCUUCCAGUUGCUCUCUGCUGGAGAACAAGCAGUUCUGACCCUCACAACCCCCAAAGUUUACCAUUAGAAGUGUAAACAAGAGCAGUGCCUCCAUUUUUAAUAUGGGGGAGGGAGUGUGUUGUCAGAUAUUUGUGUUGUCAGAUAUUGUGCUUGGUUGGCGAGAUUGAUUGACAGACGUCUAUAUUCCGACUUGAGAAAGGGUGGUAAGUUGGUAGUAAAAAUUAAAGGCUAACUCAAUAUUUAAUCUAGGGUUGCUUACCAUUUAGUUUCAAAGCACUCCUACCAUCAACUUACCUACCGCUCCUCUUCAACAGCAGCCAACUUCAUUAAAGAACAAAAGUAAAGUAAUAAGUCAUUUCACACCCUGUCUGACCAUUCUCCGGUAAUAGCAAGAUUUCAUGGAAGGGUACAACAUUACGCCCAUCUGCAAUCACAGUCUCUUUGCAAAAAUCUUAAUUCACACUUCACAUGCCGCUAACCUUGUUACCAUCCCUUCGUAAAUCCAUCAGUGUUGCAGCUGCGCGUCUUCACAGCCCAACAUCUUAAAAUUCAUCACUUUGGCACCUUAGCAUCACUACAGGUCAGACUAAGGAAGCCAACCACGAAUAAUUAAGGGUGCCCAGAUGUUUAGGUUUACUCCUUUCAAACAUUUCUUUGAUUCGAUGGGGGUGGGUGUCCCUUUCCCCUUCCUCACUUCACAUUGGAAAGAUAUAUGCAAUUAGAUUAAGAGGGGGGAGGCCAAAACCAAGUUUCAAACUCUUCCCCCCCACCACCACCACCCUCCAAAUCGUCGUCUUCUCUUUUUCUCCCCCUUACAAGUAUAGCUCUUUGUAGCUGGAAUCUGAACAAGAAGCGCGAUAAUGAGUAGGUUGAGGGAAGGAAAGGUGUUAUCUCAUUAAGGUAAUUACCAAGACAUCCCUACCAUUAUAUCGGUUUGAAAAUGUGGCAAUUAAAGAGCCCUACAUGGGUUCCUGGAGACAAGGGAACAAGACAAUUCUCUUGGAACUCCUGUGUUGCGGUUAAUGUGUGUCAUGUAAAUGAAAAGGCAGGAGAUUGCUUGCAAAAUGACUCUCUCUCCCUCUCUCUCUCCCUCUCUCUCCAACUCUUCAUAUACAUACACAUAUCAGAAUUUCAGCCCUCCUUUCAUUCAUGCCAUAUACCUAAAUAACAGGUGUCAUCCAUCUGCUUUCAUUGAAAGGCUCCCAAACACUCAGGCUGUGGCCACAGAAGGUCGUUUGAAGGGUCCAGGACCACAGAUCAUUGUCAUCAAGUUUCAUGAACCAGACGUCGUUCCCAAAACUUAGAACUCAUAUCCAGUCUUCUUCUUCUCCGUCCUCAUCACGCAGCUUCUGCCUACCCAGGAAACAUCAGAACAGCCAAGCCAAUGGCAGCCCCAGGAGCCAUGACUUCCAGAUUUAUGGAAGAUCAUUGUGAUAAUAUCAGAUCAGUCCUGUCCUGACUCCGGGUUUCGGGGAAUCUGAAAAGGAGAUCCAGCCACUGCACUGGCUCCUAUGCAGCCACCUCUGCCACUGAACUGAACUGCAUGGUAACACCAAACAGAGCUGCCAAUCUGUGCUCACGUGCUGGCCAGCAACACUGCGUCAAUACAGGUAGGCCAAGUAGGCCUGAAGCCCCACUAUUCCAGAUGCCGGUGCCAGACCAAGAUUAUAUCCACAGCAAGCCCAUGGGAUUUGCUUAUGCUGAUCCAGAAGUGCCUGAGCAUAUGUCCCUCCAAACCAUCAAGGGUGCUACAAAGCAUUUUCUUUAGGAUACAGUAAAGAAAAUUCUCUGCUGAAUUCUCUGCUGGAGAUUCAAAUAAGCCCUGUGUGUGGAGGAGCGAGCAAGGCCAUAUGCAAGUACUCCAUCCCCAAUGCCCCAUUCCAUCACUGGCUUCACCCCCCAGAUCUUUACACACACACACACCCCAAGUGGAGAAGCUAUGCACCUUUAGCUAAGCACCCAAGCUGAAAGGCAGCACUCCCAGCCCCAUGGAGGACAUCUCCAAGACAUCUUCCACAAGAUGUGCAUAGAUUCUUAAUUCAGACCUUCUGUCCAGUGGUCUGGAGGUGAAGCUGGCUGGAACAGGGUUUCUUGGAAUGAUUGGAGGAUAACUGCUGAAUAGGGCUAUAGUCAUUUUUGUAUGUCCUCAUAGACAAGAACAGGACCAGUUUGCCGCUUCAAAACCUCUUAGAAAUGAAAGCAUAUGAUUACAGAUGAAACUGUAGAAGAGUUGAGAGAAUUCUCAAGGGGGAAAAUCUUAGCUUCAAUUGCUUGCCCAAGAAAUUUAAAUCUGUAUUCUAACUUAUUUCUUUUUUAAUCUUUUGAACUAUGGCUAUUGUUGGAUUUAGAAGAAGG